ACUCUCACUCUCAAGAGUUUUUUCUUUUGAGACGUGGAUUUGGGUGUUGCUAUUAGCUCACCUUGAAUGACUUAGUGGUUUACGACCGUAGCCUGAUGUAAUAAGUUUCAUUAGGUCAAGGUUUAGAAGACUGCUUCUAAUCGCCCUUUUGUGGCACUAUUUUAAG
This 166-nucleotide unclassified non-coding RNA is filed under the name uncultured Tremellales. Its description in RNAcentral is "sequence contains ITS2". The record is from RNAcentral. Lineage: Eukaryota; Fungi; Basidiomycota; Tremellomycetes; Tremellales.